This 1372-nucleotide ribosomal RNA is filed under the name uncultured bacterium. RNAcentral's name for it is "bacterial SSU rRNA". It matches the Rfam family "Bacterial small subunit ribosomal RNA", at positions 28 to 1381 of the family's 1533-position model. The record is from RNAcentral.
GAUGAACGCUGGCGGCGUGCCUAAUACAUGCAAGUCGAGCGAACGGACGAGAAGCUUGCUUCUCUGAUGUUAGCGGCGGACGGGUGAGUAACACGUGGAUAACCUACCUAUAAGACUGGGAUAACUUCGGGAAACCGGAGCUAAUACCGGAUAAUAUUUUGAACCGCAUGGUUCAAAAGUGAAAGACGGUCUUGCUGUCACUUAUAGAUGGAUCCGCGCUGCAUUAGCUAGUUGGUAAGGUAACGGCUUACCAAGGCAACGAUGCAUAGCCGACCUGAGAGGGUGAUCGGCCACACUGGAACUGAGACACGGUCCAGACUCCUACGGGAGGCAGCAGUAGGGAAUCUUCCGCAAUGGGCGAAAGCCUGACGGAGCAACGCCGCGUGAGUGAUGAAGGUCUUCGGAUCGUAAAACUCUGUUAUUAGGGAAGAACAUAUGUGUAAGUAACUGUGCACAUCUUGACGGUACCUAAUCGGAAAGCCACGGCUAACUACGUGCCAGCAGCCGCGGUAAUACGUAGGUGGCAAGCGUUAUCCGGAAUUAUUGGGCGUAAAGCGCGCGUAGGCGGUUUUUUAAGUCUGAUGUGAAAGCCCACGGCUCAACCGUGGAGGGUCAUUGGAAACUGGAAAACUUGAGUGCAGAAGAGGAAAGUGGAAUUCCAUGUGUAGCGGUGAAAUGCGCAGAGAUAUGGAGGAACACCAGUGGCGAAGGCGACUUUCUGGUCUGUAACUGACGCUGAUGUGCGAAAGCGUGGGGAUCAAACAGGAUUAGAUACCCUGGUAGUCCACGCCGUAAACGAUGAGUGCUAAGUGUUAGGGGGUUUCCGCCCCUUAGUGCUGCAGCUAACGCAUUAAGCACUCCGCCUGGGGAGUACGACCGCAAGGUUGAAACUCAAAGGAAUUGACGGGGACCCGCACAAGCGGUGGAGCAUGUGGUUUAAUUCGAAGCAACGCGAAGAACCUUACCAAAUCUUGACAUCCUUUGACAACUCUAGAGAUAGAGCCUUCCCCUUCGGGGGACAAAGUGACAGGUGGUGCAUGGUUGUCGUCAGCUCGUGUCGUGAGAUGUUGGGUUAAGUCCCGCAACGAGCGCAACCCUUAAGCUUAGUUGCCAUCAUUAAGUUGGGCACUCUAAGUUGACUGCCGGUGACAAACCGGAGGAAGGUGGGGAUGACGUCAAAUCAUCAUGCCCCUUAUGAUUUGGGCUACACACGUGCUACAAUGGACAAUACAAAGGGCAGCGAAACCGCGAGGUCAAGCAAAUCCCAUAAAGUUGUUCUCAGUUCGGAUUGUAGUCUGCAACUCGACUACAUGAAGCUGGAAUCGCUAGUAAUCGUAGAUCAGCAUGCUACGGUGAAUACGUUCCCGGGUCU